AUUGAACGCUGGCGGCAUGCCUUACACAUGCAAGUCGAACGGCAGCACGGAGCUUGCUCUGGUGGCGAGUGGCGAACGGGUGAGUAAUAUAUCGGAACGUACCCAAGAGUGGGGGAUAACGUAGCGAAAGUUACGCUAAUACCGCAUACGAUCUAAGGAUGAAAGCAGGGGACCUUCGGGCCUUGUGCUCCUGGAGCGGCCGAGAUCUGAUUAGCUAGUUGGUGAGGUAAAGGCUCACCAAGGCAUCGAUCAGUAGCUGGUCUGAGAGGACGACCUGCCACACUGGAACUGAGACACGGUCCAGACUCCUACGGGAGGCAGCAGUGGGGAAUUUUGGACAAUGGGGGCAACCCUGAUCCAGCAAUGCCGCGUGAGUGAAGAAGGCCUUCGGGUUGUAAAGCUCUUUUGUCAGGGAAGAAACGGUGAAGGCUAAUAUCCUUUGCUAAUGACGGUACCUGAAGAAUAAGCACCGGCUAACUACGUGCCAGCAGCCGCCGUAA
This 500-nucleotide ribosomal RNA is filed under the name uncultured bacterium. RNAcentral describes it as "partial 16S ribosomal RNA". It matches the Rfam family "Bacterial small subunit ribosomal RNA", at positions 30 to 523 of the family's 1533-position model. The record is from RNAcentral.